GGCAAUCCACAUCAAUCUUCUAUGUUUUACAAUUGCAGUUAUGUGUCUUGCUUCAAUGAUAUUUGUUGGUAAUAAAUCAAUUCUUUCACUAAAUUUUGUUAUGUUGUCAAUGAAAUGUCUUGUAAUUGUAGAAUUUGAUAACAGUGUUUUAGAUUAUUAUAAGUUUGUUUUUUAGAAACAUUUUUUUAAGAAAAAUUAUAUCAUCAUAUGUUUGAAAUGACAAUGUCUUGUACAUUAGAAAAUAUUUAUAAUAACUUUUAAUUGAAUGUAACAUAAGUUGANNNNNNNNNNNNNNNNNNNNNNNNNNNNNNNNAUUCACAAAUCAAGAAAAUUGUUUUAUUUCGGGGAGUUGUCUAAAUAAGUCGUUUUAUUAUAUUGCUCUGCUUAUUGUAGAACAAGGGGCUACAUUUUGGUGGCAAUUGUUUUAUUGGCUCGGGCAUUUGUUGUUGUACACCAAAUUUUGAUGUGUUAUAAAUAAAAUGUUUUGCAGUAAUUUAAAUUCUUAUAUUUCUGUUUUAAGCUGUGAGUUUUAGAAGCAUUUUUAUUUUGAAAAUUUCUAUCAUAGGUUUGAAAUGACAAUAUCUUGUAUAUUAGAUGAUAUUUCUAAAAUAACGUUUAAUUGAUUGUAGCAGAAGCUGAUUUGACAAAUUCAGGAACUUGCUUUCUUACGGGGACUUGUCCAGUAAACACAUAUGGGUGUUCCCUUCAAUGUAAAGAUAAGGGCUUUCGUUUUGGUGGUCACUGUCAACAAGGGGUUUGUUGUUGUACACCAAAUAUUUGAGAGAUUUAUGUUUGAUAGUUGCA
RNAcentral lists this long non-coding RNA (804 nucleotides) under Trifolium pratense (red clover). RNAcentral describes it as "long non-coding RNA (TPRA_LNC005981)". The record is from RNAcentral. Lineage: Eukaryota; Viridiplantae; Streptophyta; Magnoliopsida; Fabales; Fabaceae.